Aedes albopictus (Asian tiger mosquito) is the source of this 371-nucleotide long non-coding RNA. RefSeq lists it as uncharacterized. NCBI's taxonomy places the organism in Eukaryota, Metazoa, Arthropoda, Insecta, Diptera, Culicidae. The transcript has 2 exons. The record is from RefSeq and is a predicted model, not a curated record.
CGAGUUCGAGAUCGGGAAGCCAUCAGUGCGAUCAGAUCAGUAAGCAAAAAUAUAACGUCCGAGACAUCUAGAGGGAGCAGUGUUGUGCAAGUGAAGAAAGGAAUCAAAGAAGUGCAAAAAGGCAGUCAGUAAAAUCCCGUCAGUGCAGCAAGUGAAAUCAUAAAAAUGGUGGACAGUGGUUGACAGAUUCUUCGCGGUUCAGCCAGCAGAGUGUUGUCUUUGUAUAUGGGCUUCGUCGUCGUCAUCGUAACCAUCGGCGUAGCAGCCUACUACUAGUGUGCCGUAUGUGCUGCGCUCUGGAAUAACAGCAUAAUCGUCGUCAUACAUCGAAGGAGGCGAAACACAAAGCAGAAGAACCCAAAUUCGGAGAG